This is a non-coding RNA of Phrynosoma platyrhinos (Desert horned lizard), 70 nucleotides long. Lineage: Eukaryota; Metazoa; Chordata; Lepidosauria; Squamata; Phrynosomatidae. The record is from the annotation of a GenBank genome assembly.
GCCAGCAUGGUGUAGUGGUGAGCCUUGGAUUUUGACUCUGGAGCCCAGGGUUCAAUUUCCUGUUCAGCCA